AACUAACGCUGGCGGCGUGCCUAACACAUGCAAGUCGUACGAGAAAGUUGGCUUCGGCCGAUGAGUACAGUGGCGCACGGGUGAGUAACGCGUGGAUAAUCUGCCCUUAAGUGUGGAAUAACGUACCGAAAGGUGCGCUAAUACCGCAUAAUGCCUGGCAACAUAAGUUGUCCGGCCAAAGAAGGCCUCUGCUUGCAAGCUUUCGCUAAAGGAUGAGUCCGCGUACCAUUAGCUAGUUGGUGGGGUAACGGCCUACCAAGGCGACGAUGGUUAGCUGGUCUGAGAGGAUGAUCAGCCACACUGGAACUGAGACACGGUCCAGACUCCUACGGGAGGCAGCAGUGAGGAAUAUUGCGCAAUGGGGGCAACCCUGACGCAGCAACGCCGCGUGAGUGAGGAAGGUUUUCGGACUGUAAAGCUCUGUCGAGCGGGAAGAAGUGUACCAUGGCUAAUAUCCAUGAUAUUUGACGUACG
Molecule: ribosomal RNA, 474 nt
Filed under: uncultured bacterium
Lineage: Bacteria
Description: bacterial SSU rRNA
Rfam family: Bacterial small subunit ribosomal RNA
Source: RNAcentral